This 433-nucleotide ribosomal RNA is filed under the name uncultured bacterium. RNAcentral describes it as "partial 16S ribosomal RNA". It matches the Rfam family "Bacterial small subunit ribosomal RNA", at positions 29 to 507 of the family's 1533-position model. The record is from RNAcentral.
GCGAACGCUGGCGGCAGGCCUAACACAUGCCAGUCGAACGAACCUUUCGGGGUUAGUGGCGGACUGGUGAGUAACACGUGGGAACGUGCCUUUAGGUUCGGAAUAACUCAGGGAAACUUGUGCUAAUACCGAAUGUGCCCUUCGGGGGAAAGAUUUAUCGCCUUUAGAGCGGCCCGCGUCUGAUUAGCUAGUUGGUUGAGGUAAUGGCUCACCAAGGCGACGAUCAGUAGCUGGUCUGAGAGGAUGAUCAGCCACAUUGGGACUGAGACACGGCCCAAACUCCUACGGGAGGCAGCAGUGGGGAAUCUUGCGCAAUGGGCGAAAGCCUGACGCAGCCAUGCCGCGUGAAUGAUGAAGGUCUUAGGAUUGUAAAAUUCUUUCACCGGGGACGAUAAUGACGGUACCCGGAGAAGAAGCCCCGGCUAACUUCGUG